RNAcentral lists this ribosomal RNA (121 nucleotides) under Jaculus jaculus (lesser Egyptian jerboa). Lineage: Eukaryota; Metazoa; Chordata; Mammalia; Rodentia; Dipodidae. The record is from RNAcentral.
GACCACAGCCAUAUGACUCUGAAGGUGCCCAAUCUCACCUGAUCUCAGAAGCUAAGCAGGGUUACACCUAGUUAGUACUUGGAUGGGAGAAAACAGGCAAGAGGAAAGAGAGCUCAUGCCA